GUACUCGCUUCGGUGUUGCAUAUACUAAAAUUGAAACGAUACAGAGAAGAUUGGCAUGGCUCCUGCGCAAGGACGACACGCAAAAUCGUGAAGCAUUCCACAGAAGU
RNAcentral lists this small nuclear RNA (107 nucleotides) under Schistocerca americana (American grasshopper). Lineage: Eukaryota; Metazoa; Arthropoda; Insecta; Orthoptera; Acrididae. The record is from RNAcentral.